RNAcentral lists this ribosomal RNA (555 nucleotides) under uncultured bacterium. Its description in RNAcentral is "bacterial SSU rRNA". It matches the Rfam family "Bacterial small subunit ribosomal RNA", at positions 153 to 730 of the family's 1533-position model. The record is from RNAcentral.
GAAACGGUGAUUAAUACUGGAUACGCCUUCUCUAUUAAUUAGAGUUGGGAAAGUUUUUCGCUAAGGGAUCGGCCUAUGUUGUAUCAGGUAGUUGGUAGGGUAAUGGCCUGCCAAGCCAAUGACACAUAGCGGGUCUGAGAGGAUGAUCCGCCACACUGGUACUGAGACACGGACCAGACUCCUACGGGAGGCAGCAGUGGGGAAUAUUGCACAAUGGACGAAAGUCUGAUGCAGCAACGCCGCGUGGAGGAUGACACAUUUCGGUGCGUAAACUCCUUUUAUAUAAGAAGAUAAUGACGGUAUUAUAUGAAUAAGCACCGGCUAACUCCGUGCCAGCAGCCGCGGUAAUACGGAGGGUGCAAGCGUUAUUCGGAAUCACUGGGCGUAAAGGGUGCGUAGGCGGUUUGGAAAGUCAGAUGUGAAAGCCUAUGGCUUAACCAUAGAACUGCAUUUGAAACUUCCAGACUAGAAUACUGAAGGGGCAGAUGGAAUUAGUGGUGUAGGGGUAAAAUCCGUAGAUAUCACUAGGAAUACCGAAAGCGAAAGCGAUCUGCU